AGCUGGGAUUACAGGCAUGCACCACCAUGUCCAGCUAAUUUUGUAUUUUUAGU
Molecule: small RNA, 53 nt
Filed under: Pongo abelii (Sumatran orangutan)
Lineage: Eukaryota; Metazoa; Chordata; Mammalia; Primates; Hominidae
Source: RNAcentral